AUUGAACGCUGGCGGCAGGCCUAACACAUGCAAGUCGAACGAGUGGCGGACGGGUGAGUAAUGUCUGGGAAACUGCCUGCUGGAGGGGGAUAACUACUGGAAACGGUAGCUAAUCCCGCAUACCAUCGGAUGUGCCCAUAUGGGAUUAGCUAGUAGGUGGGGUAACGGCUCACCUAGGCGACGAUCCCUAGCUGGUCUGAGAGGAUGACCAGCCACACUGGAACUGAGACAAGGUCCAGGCUACUACGGGAGGCAGUAUUGGGGAAUAUUGCAAAAUGGGCGAAAGCCUGAUGCAGCCAUGCCGCGUGUAUGAAGAAGGCCUUCGGGUUGUAAAGUACUUUCAGCGGGGAGGCGUUACCCGCAGAAGAAGCACCGGCUAACUCCGUGCCAGCAGCCGCGGUAAUAC
This 406-nucleotide ribosomal RNA is filed under the name uncultured bacterium. Its description in RNAcentral is "partial 16S ribosomal RNA". It matches the Rfam family "Bacterial small subunit ribosomal RNA", at positions 30 to 526 of the family's 1533-position model. The record is from RNAcentral.